This 223-nucleotide ribosomal RNA is filed under the name uncultured bacterium. RNAcentral's name for it is "partial 16S ribosomal RNA". It matches the Rfam family "Bacterial small subunit ribosomal RNA", at positions 943 to 1167 of the family's 1533-position model. The record is from RNAcentral.
GGUUUAAUUCGAAGCAACGCGAAGAACCUUACCAGGUCUUGACAUCCCGAUGCUAUUUCUAGAGAUAGAAAGUUACUUCGGUACAUCGGUGACAGGUGGUGCAUGGUUGUCGUCAGCUCGUGUCGUGAGAUGUUGGGUUAAGUCCCGCAACGAGCGCAACCCCUAUUGUUAGUUGCCAUCAUUCAGUUGGGCACUCUAGCGAGACUGCCGGUAAUAAACCGGA